This 510-nucleotide ribosomal RNA is filed under the name uncultured Mycobacteriales bacterium. RNAcentral's name for it is "bacterial SSU rRNA". It matches the Rfam family "Bacterial small subunit ribosomal RNA", at positions 903 to 1382 of the family's 1533-position model. The record is from RNAcentral. Lineage: Bacteria; Bacillati; Actinomycetota; Actinomycetes; Mycobacteriales.
CUAUGCGCCUUGCCAGCCCCGCUCAGAAACUUAAAGGAAUUGACGGGGGCCCGCACAAGCGGUGGAGCAUGUGGAUUAAUUCGAUGCAACGCGAAGAACCUUACCUGGGUUUGACAUACACCGGAAAACCGUAGAGAUACGGUCCCCCUUGUGGUCGGUGUACAGGUGGUGCAUGGCUGUCGUCAGCUCGUGUCGUGAGAUGUUGGGUUAAGUCCCGCAACGAGCGCAACCCUUGUCUUAUGUUGCCAGCACGUGAUGGUGGGGACUCGUAAGAGACUGCCGGGGUCAACUCGGAGGAAGGUGGGGACGACGUCAAGUCAUCAUGGCCCUUACGGCCUGGGCUACACACGUGCUACAAUGGUCGGUACAAAGGGUUGCCAAGCCGCGAGGUGGAGCUAAUCCCAUAAAACCGAUCGUAGUCCGGAUCGCAGUCUGCAACUCGACUGCGUGAAGUCGGAAUCGCUAGUAAUCGUGAAUCAGAAUGUCACGGUGAAUACGUUCCCGGGCCUU